GCCAGAGGCUGGAUCUCAGGGAUGCCAGCUCCCCAGCGGAAGCACAGGCGUGGAGGCUUCUCUCACAGGUGUUUCCCCACCCCGCAGACGGCGAUGACCCCCCAGCCCGCCGGACCCCCGGACGGAGGCUGGGGCUGGGUGGUGGCGGCCGCAGCCUUCGCGAUAAACGGGCUGUCCUACGGGCUGCUGCGCUCGCUGGGCCUUGCCUUCCCUGACCUUGCCGAGCACUUUGACCGAAGCGCCCAGGACACUGCGUGGAUCAGCGCCCUGGCCCUGGCCGUGCAGCAGGCAGCCAGUGAGGGGGGCCCUGAGGGGGGAGACGGAAACGGGGAGGAGGAGCCGUGAGUGGAGGGAUGGGAGACCCACCUGAUUACCCGACCACCUGAGAAAGGGCGACGGGCUCUAGAAAAGAGUGCAUCUUGAGGUCAAGGAGAAGAACCAUUAGUUCGAGGGAGGCAAACAGCCAAUGAGAAGUGUUGGAGAGAGUUUGGGGGCCCGGGGGCGUGUCUUCCGUUGACUCCGCCCCCUUUCAGGCCCCGUGGGCAGCGCCCUGAGCACGCGCUGGGGGGCCCGCCCCGUGGUGAUGGUUGGGGGCGUCCUCGCCUCGCUGGGCUUCGUCUUCUCGGCUUUCGCCCUCAGUCUGCUGCAUCUCUACCUCGGCUUGGGCCUCCUCGCUGGCUUCCUAAGGGAUGAGACAGGAGACUUCACCGCCUCUUUCCUCGUGUCUGGCUCUUUGAUCCUCUCCGGCAGCUUCAUCUACAUAGGGUUGCCCAGGGCGCUGCCCUCCUGUGGUCCAGCCUCCCCUCCAGCCACGCCUCCCCCAGAGAGGGGGGAGCUGCUUCCCGCUCCCCAGGCAGUCUUGCUGUCCCCAGGAGGCCCUGGCUCCACUCUGGACACCACUUGUUGAUUAUUUUCUUGUUUGAGCUC
Molecule: small RNA, 927 nt
Filed under: Pongo abelii (Sumatran orangutan)
Lineage: Eukaryota; Metazoa; Chordata; Mammalia; Primates; Hominidae
Description: retained intron
Source: RNAcentral